GAGACCUCAGGUCAGGCGGGGCUACCCGCUGA
This 32-nucleotide ribosomal RNA is filed under the name Oxytropis pilosa. RNAcentral's name for it is "partial 25S ribosomal RNA". Lineage: Eukaryota; Viridiplantae; Streptophyta; Magnoliopsida; Fabales; Fabaceae. RNAcentral also lists the same sequence under 1 other name. The record is from RNAcentral.